This 14749-nucleotide long non-coding RNA is filed under the name Selaginella moellendorffii. RNAcentral's name for it is "long non-coding RNA (SMOE_LNC001458)". Lineage: Eukaryota; Viridiplantae; Streptophyta; Lycopodiopsida; Selaginellales; Selaginellaceae. The record is from RNAcentral.
CUUGAGACACGGCACUGACAACCUUCCUGGAACUCUGGGCUCUGGGAAGACCACUGCUCUUGCUACUGUGGCUGGAUAUCUUCGGCAACUUUGGAAGAACACCUCCAAGAAGGUCGUCUUUAUCAAUGACGAAUGUUUCAUUGACAAUCCCUCGAGGACAAUGUGGGUGGCUCUUUUGCUGAGCUACAUAGACGACUUUCCAGCCGAGCUUUCAUGCCGGGGGGUGGACCCUGAAAGUAUUAGAAUUUUGGAUCCUGAUGCCGGGGGGUGGACCUUGAAAGUAUUAGAAUUUUGGAUCCUGAUGCUGCAGAUAAAUGAAGUGAGUGUUGUGGAAGAUUUCAAUCCUUGUCCCCCUCAGGAUUUUCCAGAACUUGCUUAGCCAGAACAUCUUUCAGGUACACUGGUUUUUUGCUCUUCUUCAAAGCUUUCUCUUCCUUUGUUAUCGGAAAACUUCACCUUUGGCUUGUACAUAUGCUGGGAUCCUUCUUCUUGAUCUUGGCUAGCAUCUCUAAAAUUAGUAUCUUUGCAGCACUCCAUCCAGUCUUCCUCAUUUGAUGGCAAAUUCAUGUCCACAAGCCUACACUUUUGAAGCAAUGCCAAUUUUGGCGGAUAAUAAUUCAAAGUUGAAGAGAUCAGAAUACUCUUUCUUAAGCUAGUCAAUUGCUAUAAUAUAAAGACUGUUGGAGGGGUUUGAGAAAUAAAGGAGCAAAAUAAAAAUAUUGAAUAGAAACAUUUAUUGGAAGACCAAAGUGAUGGGAAGUAAAUGUAAAAAGAAAUAAAAUAAAAAUAAAGGGAAGGAAAAAAAAUUAAAAAGUUAUGAAAAAAAAGGAAAAGUCUCAAAUAUGCAAUCCUAAAAACCAUUUGCAAUAAUAAAAGCUCAAACUCAAGAUUGCUUACAUUCACCACAUAUAUGCAUUUGUAUAAUUAUUGCUAUAGAAAAUGAAAAUUGAUUUUGUUGUUAGUAUAGAUGAUUUUGCCACACAAUGCAACUGUAAAUGGCAAUGUGUGGCAACAAGCCAAGCAAUAAAAUAUAAACCCACUAACCUUUAUCAACUUUUAUCAUUUUGUCAUUCCAAACACCACAAGCCAAAAUCCCCACCUCAUAAACCAGAAUUCUGCAACAAAGAAAUUCAUUGCUCCAUCUCUCCAAAAGGAUAUAGAUGACACCUAGUGUCUAAAGCACUAUGCCUAUGAUACCAUGUGAAGAGAAGCUAGCCUCUCCACCUAAUACUCUAAAAAAAGAGAGCAGCUCUCACAAAAUAGGAAAAAAAACUAAGAAGCUUAAAUUGAAGGAAUGUGACUCAAGCCAUUUGGCUUGACUCUAAGACAGGAUGGCAUUAGUGGCUGCCACAUUCUCUACUUUGGUGGCAGGAAGACCCUUUACUCACAACCUCCAGAGGGAUGAGCACACCUAUACAUACCGCUUAAACAAACAAAAUUGUGGCUAAGUUUUCACUUUUUGUCUCUUGUGUUUAUAAUUGAGUUAGUGGUCUAAACCACCGGGCCGUCGGAUGAAGAUCGUGCGGUCCCUGACGAUCAUCGAAUCCCUAACCCUAGCUAAUAUAUAGGGCGCUCUUGAUCGCUCUCCGGAUCAUCGAUCCCAGCGCGCGGCGGCGAGGAUUUCAACUAACGAAAUGGACGAGGAAUUGGCUAAGGUGCAGGCUCAAAUCGCGCGUCUUGAGCCGCAGAUCCAAGCGGCUGGGGAAUCUUUUCUCUUUGCCUUUGAGAGUGGCAAUCAAUUUCUGGCGAAAUAUUGGCAGAAAAAGGAAGAGCAGCUGCGGAAGAAAAAAUUACAGCUGUGGAAGAAGGAACUCCUCCUCCUCAAAUCUAAUUGUAAGUCAUUCUUUGUGGGCGUUUUGCUGUGUGUUGUGGAUUAUGUGUGGUUCCAUUGGCUACUUUCGGCCAUGGUUAAGGAUUUUGCCAGAGGUAGCUUCAAUUCGCUUUUAUUUUGGGUUGGUGGAAGUGUGGCUAUGGUGGCUUUUGGCUGUGCUGCCGGUGGACGCAUGCUCCCUUGUGCAUCCUUGGUCGUCCUUGUAUGGCUAUGGCUGUUGAGACCCUGGUUUUUUCUUCUAGAUCUAAUACUAACUUUGUUUUGUUCUGAAUGUUGCAGUGCUUAGAAAUAUGAACUAGUGAAGUCCAUGUAAACAAGCACCCUAGAUUGCAUGAUGUGUGUAAGGCUAUAUGGAGUAUCGGCCCGUGAGAAGAAGUAUGGUAUGUGCCAGUCUCGAGGCUCGGCUCCUUGCAAGUGCCUCUCGAGAGCCACUGGGCGGUAUGAAGUAGACCCGAGCACCGCUUGUCCAUCGCCACCACCUUUCAUCACUGCUGAGACGUGUUCCGCUAGAUCAGAGGCAGGAUUUCCUGGGAGUCUCGUAUUUCCCGAACAAGCUGCUCCAGCCGGAUAUGGUGUCGCCCCUGGACAAGUGCCUGAAUAUGUGCAAGGCAAACUGCUCCUGUGCCGCGGUCUUCUAUAGCAAGAACUCGAGCGGCUGCUACUUCGUCAAGGACAUCCUGGGAAGCUUGGACUUUGAUGCCACUGCUGCGGUGCAGUACUCCGCUCAUCUCAAGCUCGAGAGUGGCAGCAUUGUCCUGAAGCCUGGAUGCUACUUUAUCUAGUUGGGUGUCUUCUCUUUGGGAUGACUGGUAGCCUGACACUAGAGUUUGCUCAGUUCUGCUCACAAGUCUGUGCGUUCCUCCAAAGCCCCCUUGUUUGCUUUUCAUGUCUGUCUUGUGUUUUACUUGGUCAUUCCCCGAUGCCUUCGCCUCUCAGAUCUGUGUUGCGAAAUCCCUGACCAUAACCACACAUGGAAGAGAUGACUAACCGAGAAGGAGCUCUUUCUCCUCUCCCGCAGCAGCCUCUCUUUCACCCGGAGCAGCAGCAACUCUUUAUCCUGGAGCGGAAUCUGUUUCUUUCUUUCUGUGUGGAUAUCUGGUAAUCUCCGCAUCCUUGUGGUCAUUCUCACCCCUGUUUGCCAUUUGGCUGUGUUUAAUUCUGUGGCCAUUCCUCCAUAAACUAUAUUGUGCCUCUCACAGCACCAGCGCCAGCAGCGGGACUUCCUCCAGCCGAUUUUUAUGUGCCUGGUAAGAAUGAUGUCUAGGGGACUGAAUGCCAUGACUGGACAAGCCAUGCGACUUUUCGGGAGCUCCAUAUUCCCGCUUUCUGUGGCUAUCAAACAUACAUGUACAUGGGUCGCUCACCCUUCAAGGAGAUAGAAAGUUUCGUAUCGGCCUUGAGACACGGCGCUUCGGAUAAUGACAACAAACCUCCAGGUAUUAUUAUUGGAACUCCGGGGUCUGGGAAGACCACUGUUCUUGCUACUGUGGCUGGAUAUCUUCGGCACCUUUGGAAGAACACCUCCAAGAAGGUCGUCUUUAUCAAUGGCGAAGAUUUCAUUGACAAUCCCUUGUGGACAAUGUGGCUGGCUCUUUUACUGAGCUACAUAGACGACCUUCCAGCUGAGCUUUCGUGCCGGGGGCGGACCUUGGAAGCAUUAGAAUCUUGGAUCCUGUCGAGAUCGUCAGAGCAGCUUUACUUUCUGGUGGACGAGGCCAACGCGUUUGACACCACGCUGAAGAGAGAACCGGGGGCUGCCAGCGCGAAAAAAAGAGACGACGCUUACCAUUUUAUGAAGAAUAUGCAACUGCAGCACGUCGUUGUCUACUGCUCAAGUACGUGGACGAGCAGAUUAGUGAGCGACAAAAGCCAGGUGGUUACAACGUAAGUGGCGACUACUUUCCAACACUGGUGUGGGGCUAACUUGUGUGCUUUUCCUUUUAUCCAACAGGCUGAGGAACUGCAGGCAUAUUGCGAACACGAGGUUCGUCGUGCCGGGGGGCUCCAAGUGGAGGUGAGCAUCGUAUUUACCGUGUCUUCUUUUAAAGCCUACUAAUGGUUUGGAGUAGGAGGAUCCGAUUGUGGCGUAUUGCAGGCUUGCCACAAGGCAAGGCCACCGAGAGUUGAUCCGACAAAUUCAGCUCCUCCUCAGAUCCAUCAACCUGCUUCAUCGCGUCGGUAAGCCACACAUUCACACAUUUCAUUUACCUUAAUGCGUUUGCUCGGAAUUCAAAAGUGAGACCGGCUGGGUUCCCAGGCUUGUUCGCUCAUUACGGGACCUGGAAGCUAGGGACCACGUACCAGAUGUACGAAGCUGGCCUGGGAGAGUAUAUCCAAGAGGCGGUCAAGGACCCAGAUCGCUGGAAUUCCUUCAUCGCUGUGGUCAGCAGAGUGGAAACGAUUAGAGCGGUGUUACCAGACGCGCUAGACACUCGAUGUUUUUACGUGGAUCCAGAGACACAAACAGGAAAAUGUCCAUCAGAUUCUCUGUGCGCGCGCACUAUGGCGACUCUGCAGUACGCGUCUGACGUUGAGGCUAGGAUGGGUAUCGGCCAAUGGACAAGGCUGAUCUCGCAGGAUGACAACAGUGCUCGGGUUGGGUGGAACGCAAUAAUGGCAACUCUCAUUUUCAUCAAACACUAUGGUAUCGUUAUUACCGCGGAAGGUCUGCAGCUUAACUUUAAACCUGAAGUGGUUGUCAGAUUCGAACCCCAACUUCUGUUUGGAUCCUAUGAUCCCCCCCCCAUCCUUCGUGGGGUACAACACACCUCAGUCCAAAUGCUUCCAUCAGUCCUUUUAGGACCAUUUUUUGACUCUACUUAAGUCAUCCAGCAGUUUUAGACUUGAUUAAUUCACAGACCUAUAAGGUCCCACUUGUGAAGCACUAGCUCACUGGAAUACACUUCCUGCAUUCCUGUCCUACUUAGAAGGACUAUUUUCACAAGUGUUAUUCUGACACUUGUUUUUGUUCUCUAGGGCAACUUCUGCCCCUUAGAACUACUUGUCCAUGUGAUGAGAAUACCAACUCAUCUUUAAGUACACCCCCCAACUCUUUGGGUUGUUCUAACAUUUAUUAAAGGUAGCCCCGGCUACCAUUUCAAGGGCUGGUGUCCUCUUCUGUAUUUGACAUCCCACAGUCAACAAUUUUAGUCUCGAAUUUAUGAGUACCAGCCUCAACCAUAUAAGGGUAAUCUUGUGACUCCUUUAUUGUUUUGGAGUCUGCAUCUUCCCCGUGAUCCCAAUUGUAGUUGUUUACCACAACUACAUUAGCAAGUUUGUUAAGUCAAACGCUCAUCUGGAUCACAUCCUCAACUCUCUGAAGAAACCCUUAUACUAUUCCCAAGAUCCCAAAGUCAUUCCAUUAUUGGCCCCUUUUCUAUCCAGCACAUUGCACCCAAGUUCACGCAUGAACUUGAGUGGAGAGCCAUGUCCUCUCGACAUGCUACUCCUCAAGGAUAGGCCCACUCCUAGGACUUUCUGAUGCCAAUAUCAAUGGUGUUAUACUUGAGCACCAAUAAAAGUCGGACUAAAGAACAACUCCGAUACUAAGUUGUAAGUGACUAAAUUUUCCAUUUUACUUUAGUCACUUAACCGCACCUCCGACCACUUGGAGGAGUCUCACUCACAACCUCCGUAAGUCCUAUUUUGGACCUGGGCUUACUAGCCCCGAGAAUGGCAUCCCCGCCACUCAACUUCGUGCACUUGGUCCAAGUGCUCCACGUGUCCGAUCCCAUGACUGACACCCCAAGGUACCACCAACAUAUCAGCCUGUUACGCUAAGGCCAUGCCCAUUCACCUUGGUCACAACGAUGGUCUGACACCAUCUGCAUCCCAAUCCCAUCACUUAAAGACUGGGCCAUCCAUCCAUGAGUGAUCAUCCCAAAUCCACUCCUUAGCAUCCUUAGGAUGCCCACCGACAUGGGGAUUAGCCUUCCCCAAUAUCUCCGUUCCAAUCCCCACUAAGUCCCUUUUCGUCCAUGGCCGUGUUUGCCAACACUGCCACUGGAUCGAGGCCCACAGGCCCGACCACUAAGUCCCACGGUCCACUGGGACUUCCUCACCACACGACUGUGUCCUUGGUCACUACCCCAGAGGACUGCUCCUCUUCCUUUCCACAGUCUGAGCCUUUGGGACAACAUUUCGGAACACCGUGGCCUUACGCGAGCCACCUGGGUACUCUCCCCGCCUUCCGCCCUUGGGUGCUCUAGCCAUGGGCUUAGAGCGAGGUUCCGUUGAGCCACGCCUGGUAUCCAAGUAGGUAGUGCCACCCACACUUGGACUGGGAGCAUCGGCCAGUCGAUCUCCCGGGGGAACUAGAGCCGGCUCUUGAACACUUCACCAAGCUACCCCGCUUGUCGGUCUGUGUUCACUCUAGUCUUGGACUUCCCAGUGGUCAGCUCAUCACCCAACACUGGGUCUGGCCUUCCUGGGCCAAACUGGCCUUUCCUAGCCAAACUGGCUCCACUGGGCUCCAACCCCCACACUCUCCCUACUAUACUUUUGGAAACCCCCGCCCUGGGGGACGAUCGCUUUGGGCUUUCACCCAACUGCCUGUAUUAGUAUUCGGACUCGGACUCGGACUCGGUCUCGGUCUCGGUCCCGAAUUCGGACUCGGACUCAAUCUCGGUCUCGGUCUCGGUCUCGGUCUCGGUCCCGGUCUCGGUUCCAUCUCGGACUCCAUCUUGGGUCCAUCUCAGACUCCAUCUCGGGUCCAUCUCGGACUCCAUCUCGGGUCCAUCUCGGACUCCAUCUCGGGUCCAUCUCGGACUCCAUCUCGGGUCUAUCUCGGGUCCAUCUCGGACUCCAUCUCAGGUCCAUCUCGGACUCCAUCUCGGGUCCAUCUCGGGUCCAUCUCGGACUCCAUCUCGGGUCCAUCUCGGACUCCAUAUCGGACUCCACUUCGGGUCCAUCUCGGACUCCAUCUCGGACUCCAUAUCGGACUCCACUUCGGGUCCAUCUCGGACUCCAUAUUGGACUCCAUCUCAGACUCCACUUCGGCCUCUACUUCGGGUCCAUCUCGGACUCCACUUCGGGUCCAUCUCGGACUCCACUUCGGGUCCAUCUUGGACUCCAACUCGGGUCCGCCUCGGACUCCAUGUCGGACACUUCCACGUGUCAUGUGUUGGUCCUUUUUGGGUCCCUUUUUGGAGCCUUGCUUAUUGGUUGCCUCGUGCUUGCUCCUCGAGCACUUUGUUGGGAGUUCCACUCCCGCUCUCAACCUUCCAAGUCGGAGCUUUUAGUCCAAACGUGUUAUGCUCGUUUGGCUUUCGCUUCGGCCACUACCACGUGGCACCCUUUCCAGCUCCACUUUGGGGGCCUAGGGAUUUUGUGUCUCACACAAAUUUGGACACUUUCCAUAAAUAGCAUUUGGGACCGAAAUGAGACUAACACAAAAGGCAUGAUAGCGAGGGUUUUUGGUAGGCACGGUAAGCUAUUAUCCAGCGAUAUUGAGGGACUAAUCUCAAUACGCGAGGGUUCUUGUCAAGCCAGUGCAAGACAGAGCAAAAGAGAACUAAAAAGCCAGGCCAAGUAUGUUUGGCUAAAUAGACACUUAGGAAUUCCGUCCUUAUGCUCAUCCGGCCAAGUACAGAUGCAAAGUCCAGUUUACUAACACUUGAACAAGAGGGGCUGGCAAAGGGUCUAGCAAUACUGACCUCCUGCCAUCAUGGCAGUAAGGAAAGAGUGUCCGUAAGGACUGGUCGACAGGUAACUUUCGAUACCCGAAGUCACAUUCGCGACAAUUCCUGAUAGCACCCCCUCGGAUUGAAGAUCAUUUCUGAUCGCAUUCAUCAAGGAGGAGUCCUGAGGGGCCAGAGAAAUUGCCAUAACUUGAAGCCGAUCAGGACCGAGGAUAACUUGAUCAUGUUGAUUGAAGGCAGGAUUACCAGGCCUGAGACUGAGAUAGGACCGCCUUGAAAGAGCAUCAGGAAGGCCUUGAAACUUUCUAGGUCUGUACUUGAUAACAAAGUCAAACCGACUCAAGAAUUGUGCCCACCUUGCUUGACGACGGCUCAAAACUCAGGAAGUGGCAAAGCACUCAAGAUUUUUGUGAUCCGUCCAGACCAUUGUUUGAUGGCCCGCCCCCUCCAAGAAACGACACCACUCUCCAAAGGAAUCCACGAUGGCAAGAAGCUCCUUGUCAUGGAUUUCGUAAUUGAUCUCCGCAGGUUGGAAUUUCUGAUAAUGGAAGGCGACUGGAUGAAAUUCUUGAUCCGCUCCGAGUUGAAACAACACAGCACUGAUGGCAAAGUCAGACACAUCAGCCUCGAUGAAGAAAGGUUGUGAGGGAUCAGUGUGGAUCAAGACAAGAGCAAAACUGAAGGCCGCCUUGAGUGUGUCGAAGGCCUGCUGGGCAGCAGCAGACCAAGAGAAGGGAACAUCCUUGUGAGUGAGAUGCGUGAGAGGAAGGACAAUGUCAGAGUAGUGAUCAAUGAAUUUGCAAUAGGAAUUGGCGAAGCCAAGGAAAACCUGAACAUCCGACAUUGAUUGUGGAGGCUCCCAUUCGAGAAUAAUCUUGACUUUGGCAGGAUCCAUCGUGAUACCCUCAAGAGUGACAAUGUACCCAAGGAACUCCACAGACUCCUGAUCGAAGGAACAUUUCUCAAGCUUCGCAUAUAAGCCAUGUUCCCGCAGCUUUGCCAACACCUUGCGCACAUGCUCGUCGUGCUCCUCCUGAGUUUUUGAGUAGAUGAGGAUGUCAUCAAGGUAGACGAUCACCAUCUGAUCAAGAAACUCCCGAAAGACGUUGUUUGCCAUGUGUUGGAAAAUUGUUGGAGCAUUUGUCAAGCCAAAUGGCAUAACGGUGUAUUCGAAGUGGCCAUAUGUAAGCCACAAAUUUUUCCUUUCCAAUUUGCCAGCUUACCUCGCCUAUCCGUCCAACACCGCCUUGGCUUUUGCUAAGUUCCCUUGCCAAGGUUCUCGCCUAUGGUACCAGCUCCUACUUGGUCUCAGCUACUCACUGCACGAGCAACGGAGUGUUAGCCACCAUCCACGGAUUCCCAAAUCACUCCCAAUCCCCCUCCCCGGGUUAGACUGGACUUAAGGUUCGGCUACACUCCCCGCAAGCACAAGCAGCCAAGCACACCAAGCUUCCAGGUUCCUAACAUCCUUUGGUACCACAAGACUUGAUCAUGGGACCCUCUAAAUCCCAAGUCUUGAGUGCAACACUUGCUUCGGGACGCCGGGGCGAAACACCGUGGCCUAGCGGCCCGGUAUGGGUACCUCUCGCCCCCCACUUCCAUCCCGAAGGAAGGCCCAAGCCCCUAGGAAGGGCGAGGACCAAUGAGCCGCAUGGUACUCAAGUGGGGCACCACUCCACUUGAGCCGGGAGCACCGCAAUCGGUUUCCCUUUCGGGAGUGGGAGCUGCUCUUGAGCACUUCCUUGGAUGGCCCCUCCGGCACCAACCAAGUCCAUGCUCACUCCCACCCAAGGCCCCUCGGUCCCAGUCCCAACCUCAAGUCAGUUUGGGAGCCCCACUGGAGAGUCCCUUCUAAACUGGUUCCUGGACCUCACUAUCCCUACCAUACUUUUGGAACCCCCUACAGCCCCCCCCCCCCCCUGGGAGACGCACGCUUUGGGCUUUCACCCCUUGACCCGUAUUAGUAUUUGGACUUAGUCUCUGGCUCGAUCUCGGACCCGAUUUCGGAUCCGACUUCGGAUUCGGGUUCGGACUCGAUCUCGGACUCGAUCUCGGACCCGAUCUCGUACCCGACCUCGGACUCGACCUCGAACUCGGUCUCGGACCCGAUUUCGGAUCUCGGACUCCGUCUCGAACUCAGUCUCGAACUCGGACUCGAACUCGGUCCCCGAGUCGGUCUCGGACUCGAUUCCGGACUCGAUCUCGAACUCGGUCCUAGAGUCGGUCUUGGACUCGAUCUUUGACUUGGUCCCAUCCGAUGAACUCUUUGUCAUUUUGGUCAUGCUUUCGGGGUUCCUUUAGCCUACGACACCUCGGCGAGUUGGUUCCUUACACCAUAGCGGGUUCGGAACGCAGUCUUCCAUUCAUUACUAGGCCGGAUCUGGAUCAGGUUGUAUGCUCCACAGAGGUCGAUCUUGGUGAAGAAGCAGGCACCGCUGAGGCGUUCCAAUAUGUCUGAGAUCAGGGGCAGUGGAUAACGGUUCCGAACAAUCACCUUGUUCAAACCUCGGUAGUCGAUGACUAGCCGCAAACUCCCAUCCUUCUUCUUGACAAAGAAGACAGGCACUUCAGUCGGGGACUGCGAAUGCUGAAUGUACCCCGAGGCAAGGUUCUCAUCCACGUAUUCUUUGAGGGCCUUAAGCUCGGACGGGGAUAACCCAUAGAUAGGCCCCCACGGAGGUGAUGCUCCUUCCUGUAAAUCAAUGGGACAGUCAUAAGGCUGAUGAACAGGCAGUACACUAGCUUUUUUCUUGUCAAACACAUCCCCAAAAUCAUGAUACUUCUCAGGAACACUGACAGGAGAAACAUGCAAAGCAAAAAAGGAAAAUAGAUUCUUCAUGAAGAAGUUCUUUCAUAGUGAUUGUGGAGAUAGGAGGAGGUGUACAACUAAAUGGAAUGAUGAGACGAGGAUACUGUCCAGUGUAAUAUGGAAGAGAGGAAAAAGAAGAGGGUGAAAACUUCGUAGAGUCAGGAAUAGAACCCCAAUUUAAGUUUAAGGAACUUUUCCUGAUUCGGACUCGAUGAACAGCAGGGGAAGCCAUGGGAGAUGAUGAUGUGGGAGAGACGAGCUGUAAUUCCUUCCAAUAGAUCUGAGGCUGAUGUAGUUGGAACCAAGGGAGGCCAAGCACCACAGAGAAGGACUUGUUGUUGAUGAUGUUGAAGGCGAUAUCGGUGACGGUGGACCCGAUGUGUACUUGAAAGGGCAACAUUUCCCUAAGUCCAGAAGAUGGAAACACAAAAUGCCUGCCGAUGCCUUCAACCCUCAGAUCCCGUAUGGUAGGAGAAAGAGGAACGUGAUGUCAGGCAGCAAAGUUCGUGUCCAUGAAGCAGGAAGUUGCACCCGAGUCCAGUAGUGCCAGAGCCUUGAGUCCUGAUUGUCCGGUGAAAGAAAGGAGACAUAGGAUGCGGAAGUUGCGGGAAUUGGUGGUGGCUUUGAUGAAAGGUGGUGAAGAGCUUGAUAAAGAAGAAAAGUGAUUUUUAUUUGGGGAGUCCAAACAGACAGCUCCUACUUUGUUUGGACAGGGUCGUUUCCCAAUUGCAACAGAGAUGGACUUUGAGGCAGAGUGAACUCGAGCAAUCGGGGAGGCUUCUUGGGACACACAGUUGCUUUGUGAUUAGGAUCAGCAUAGUAGAGGCAAAGAUUAUGAGAUAUUCGACGUUGCUUCUCAGCAGGACUCAACUUCCCUCUGAUGAGUCGGGGAGUACCAGAAAUAUCCAUCGGGACCGGAGUAGUAGGUCCAGGAGUAUGCUCUGAAGACUCAAGCUGGGAUUCCUGAGUCUGGGACGGGAAAACGGCGGCACGGUGACUUUUCUGAUGACGUUCAAAGAGACGAUUGUCGCAUCAAACAGCUUUGUUGAUGGCGUCCGACAAGUCCGUGGGAUCCUCCAUGGUGAGCAACAAAUCCUUGACACCGUUGUUGAGGCUGAAACGAAAUUGAUCAAUCAAGGCCUGCUCAUCCUAUUGAGUGUCCAAGGCAAGGAGUUGGAACUCUGCAGCAUAGAUCGAGGCAGGACGAGACCCUUGAGAGAGACGUCUCAUCUUUGUGGUGGCAGCCCGAACCCGAUCCGUCUCGCCAAAACAUGCUUCGAGCUUCUCUUUGAACAAUUGAAAAUCCAUCAGCUCCAGAACCACGACCCCUUUCAUGCUCUUCUCCAGGAGAGGAGAAAACCAUGACAAAGUUGCACCUUCGAGCAACAUCCCAAUCGCACCAAUUUGAGACUCGGGAGUGGGGUACCGCCGAUGUUAAAGUCCGAAGAUCAGCUCCAUCUGGUUCAGGAAUCCACGAAGCUCUGAACGCUUCCCUAAAAAUUUUGCCGGGAAACUCACCUUCGGUUUAGGAACUUUGUUGGAUCCUUGAGCCGAAAGUGAAGCAAGCUCCUGUUGCAUGCGAAGAAGGGUCGCCUUCAGCUCAAUAUUCUCAGACUGGAUUUUUGCAAGGACUUCGGCAAAGAAAUCAGGAUGGCUUGGAAACUCCAUUGGAAAAGAAGAAAGAAAAAAGGGGGAAAAAAUGCAAAGGCAGUCAAACAAUCAAAACAAGCUAAAGCAAAAAACGAAAAAACACAAUCUAAAUCAAACUAUCAAGACCCCUAACAAGAUCAAGACUGGAAAAUGCAAAAGACAAAGAGAAAAGCUAGUGAAUAACGAAGAAGAGGCCUUAGACUAGUGUUGAUUCAGAUUGUAGAGAAAUGGAACAAAGCUAACUUAUAUAUACUAUAGGUUGAUGAAGCUCCACCACUUUUGGAUCGAGGACGGCCCAAAUAUAGUUGAGGUUGAGGAGGCGUCACAUCAUCAUCAGGAAUGUGGCUCGAGACUCAGGAAUCGUAUGGGAAAUCGAGAGUCAGGAAUAGGGAAGUGUUUUGAGAGUCAGGAAUAGGGAAGUGUCUCGAGAGUCAGGAAUGUGGUCUGCAGGUCAAGAAUCUGGCGAGAGUCAGGAAUGUGGCAAGAAUUGGGGGAUUUCUGACAACAAUAAAAGGAGUGAUCAAUGUAAGCUCCUAAGUUUAGACUUUCCAGGGGUGACAAUAAAAGGAGUGAUUAAGUGUAAGUUCCUGAGUUUGGAAUUCCCAGGAGGUCACCUAACCUAGUACUAUUCAAACCUAAGAACGUUUAACUCAAGUAUCCCAAAACCUUUAACUAAUUUGAAAAAGGGGUGCACUUUUUUUAAGGGCGUUUUCCCUUUAUAUUUGAAUCCUAUGUAUCAUUUUUCAAAUCGUUCUUUUUGGUUGCUUAUAAUCCACCACGCUUCCAUGUAAUUUCAUGCCUUCAUGAAUGGAAGCUGAAAGCCAUAGCUCAACUCAAGAGUUUAUAUUUGGUAUCAGAGAGGUCUUGGGUCCGACUUUAUUGAUUGGCUAAAAGAAUUGCACUAGAUAUUGAUUGACAUCAGGUAAGUUUAAUUUACUUUUUAAUUAUUUAUAAUUAAUGAUGAAGACACCAUUAACUUUGUAGCUCCCUAUGCCAAUUCACCUAUCAACCCCACAAUAGAACCUACACUUAGUUUGUGGCCAUCUACCAUAUAGCUUAACAUGAUUGUAAUUUAGGGCAUUUUGUCAUUCUAGAUACCACCUCAUAAAUCAGAAUUCUGCAGGCAAGGAAAUUCAUUGCUCCAUUUUUCCAAAGGACAAAGAUGACACCUAGUGUCUAAAGCACUACUCAUGCCAAAAAUUCUAACCUAUGCCUCUUAUACCAUGUGAAGAGAAGCUAGCCUCUCCACCUAACACUCUGCAGAAAGAGAAAACUCCAAGAACAAGCAGCUCUCACAAAACAGCAAAAAGAGGUAAGAACGUUAAAUUGAAGAAAUGUGACUCAAGCCAUGUGGCUGACUCUAUGGUGGCUGCCACAUUCUCUACUUCAUAGAGUCUGCCACAUUCUCUACUUUGGUGGUAGGAAGACCAACUGUAAAAUAGAAGCCACUAAAACAAACAAAAUUGUGGCUAAGUUUUCACAUUUUGUCUCUUUAUCGUGCUAUCGUUACGGUUUUAGGGCAAAGCCCACCACCAACCUAGGUUUUCACGAUAGGGUUUCAAUUAACGAAAUGGACGAGGAAUUGGCUAAGGUGCAGGCUCAAAUCGGGCGUCUUGAGCCGCAGAUCCAAGCGGCUGGGGAAUCUUUUCUCUCUGCCUUUGAGAGUGGCAAUCAAUCUCUGGUGAAAUAUUGGCAGAAGAAGGAAGAGCAGCUGCGGAAGAAGGAAGAACAGCUGCGGAAGGAAAAAGAACAGCUGCGGAAGAAGGAACUCCUCCUCCUCCAAUGUAAUGGUAAGUCAUUCUUUGUGUAUUUAGCUUUCCCCCUCGAUUUGGGGAUGGCUGCUUUCAGCCAUGGUUAAGGAUUUUGCCAGAGGUAGCUUCAAUUCGCUUUUAUUUUGGGUUUGUGGCGUGUUGCGAAAUCCCUGACCAUAACCACACAUGGAAGAGAUGACUAAGGAUCUCUUUCUCCUCUCCCGCAGCAGCCUCUCUUUCACCCGGAGCAGCAGCAACUCUUUAUCCCGGAGCGGCUCCACUGUCCUGCUUUGCUUUCCCUGUCUGGUCACGGUUAAGGAUUUUUGCUUCCUGAAUCUGUUUCUUUCUUUCUGUGUGGAUAUCUGGUAAUCUCCGCAUCCUUGUGGUCAUUCUCACCCCUGUUUGCCCUUUGGCUGUGUUUAAUUCUGUGGCCAUUCCUCCAUAGACUUUAUUGUGCUUCUCACAGCACCAGCGCCAGCGCCAGCAGCGGGACUUCCUCCAGCCGAUUCUUACGUGCCUGGUAAGAAUGAUGUCUAGGGGACUGAAUGCCAUAAUUUUUGGUUUCAGACAUGAUCGCCUGGGCCAAAAAGCUGGACGAGAACCUGACCGCAGAUUUUGCUGACGGCGGCAUUGACUGGACAAGCCAUGCGACUUUUCGGUAGCUCCAUAUUCCCGCUUUCUCUGGAACGGAUGGCAAUCAAACAUACAUGUACAUGGGUCGCUCACUCUUCAAGGAGAUAGAAAGUUUCAUAUCGGCCUUGAGACACGGCGCUUCGGAUAAUGACAACAAACCUCCAGGUAUUAUUAUUGGAACUCCGGGGUGGUCUGGGAAGACCACUGUUCUUGCUACUGUGGCUGGAUAUCUUCGGCACCUUUGGAAGAACACCUCCAAGAAGGUCGUCUUUAUCAAUGGCGAAGAUUUCGUCGACAAUCCCUUGAGGACAAUGUGGCUGGCUCUUUUGCUGAGCUACAUAGACGACCUUCCAGCCGAGCUUUCGUGCCGGGGGUGGACCUUGAAAGUAUUAGAAUCUUGGAUCCUGUCGAGAUCGUCAGAGCAGCUUUACUUUCU